UCAAGCUAAUAAGAGCAUAAGGUGAAUGCCUUGGCAUCAAGAACCGAUGAAGGACGUAAAAAGCUGCGAUAAGCUUCGGGGAGGCGCACAUAGCCAACGAUCCGGAGAUUUCCGAAUGGGGAAACCUAGCUGAGAAAAGCUCAGUUGGCGUACAGUGAAUCAAUAGCUGUGCGUAGGGAACGCUCUGAACUGAAACAUCUAAGUAGGAGCAGGAAGAGAAAGAAACAUCGAUUUCCUAAGUAGUGGCGAACGAACGGGAAACAGGCCAAACCGAGAUACAUGUAUUUCGGGGUUGUGGACUACAUCAUGUGAUGGAGGUAAGGUAGUAGAAUUGUUUUGGGAAAGCAAGCCAAAGAAAGUGAAAGCCUUGUAUACGAAACCUGAAGACCCACAGUAGUAUCCAGAGUACAUCGGGACACGUGAAACCCUGAUGGAAGCCGGAGGGACCACCCUCCAAGCCUAAAUAUUCCUUGAUGACCGAUAGCGAAGAAGUACUGUGAAGGAAAGGUGAAAAGAACCCCGGGAGGGGAGUGAAAGAGAACCUGAAACCUUAUGUUUACAAACAGUCGAAGUUUUUCGGAACGACGGCGUACUUUUUGUAGAACGGUCCGGCGAGUUGCAGUGACAUGCGAGGUUAAGGAGUACAGCUCCGGAGCCGAAGGGAAACCAAGUCUUAACUGGGCGUCUAGUAUGUUAAUGCAGACCCGAAACCGGGUGACCUAUCCAUGGGCAGGUUGAAGUUACCGUAAAAGGUAAUGGAGGACCGAACUCACAUCUGUUGAAAAAGGUGGAGAUGACCUGUGGAUAGCGGAGAAAUUCCAAUCGAACUCGGAGAUAGCUGGUUCUCCUCGAAAUAGCUUUAGGGCUAGCCUUGAGGUAAAGUCUAAUGGAGGUAAAGCACUGAUUGGACGCGGGUCCCCAAAAGGAUACCAACUUCUAUCAAACUCAGAAUGCCAUAUAGAUAUACUCAGGAGUCAGACUAUGUGAGAUAAGUUUCAUAGUCAAAAGGGAAAGAGCCCAGACCGACAGCUAAGGUCCCAAAGUGUGUGUUAAGUGGAAAAGGAUGUUAGGUUUCUAAGACAACUAGGAUGUUGGCUCAGAAGCAGCCACUCAUUUAAAGAGUGCGUAACAGCUCACUAGUCGAGAGGUCUAGCGCCGAAAAUGUCCGGGGCUAAAACACACCACCGAAGCUACGGAAUUACCUAUGGUAAUUGGUAGAGGAGCAUUCUGUAAGGAUGAAGCACAAUUGAAAGAGAGUGUGGACGAAACAGAAGAGAGAAUGCCGGAAUGAGUAGCGAGAUAUAUGUGAGAAUCAUAUAGGUCGAAUGUCUAAGGUUUCCUGGGUAAAGCUGAUCUGCUCAGGGUAAGUCGGGACCUAAGGUGAGGGCGAGAGCCGUAAUCGAUGGACAACAGGUAGAAAUUCCUGUACUACGUAUAAUCAGAACUGUGGGGACGCAGGAGGAUAGGAAAACCGGAGAAUGGAAAAAUCCGGCUAAGUACAAAGGUGUGAGUGAUAGGCAAAUCCGUCACUAUUAGCUGAAGUACGAAUGGGAGCGAAGAAAAGUAGCGAAGUUUCUGAAUCCACACUGUCAAGAAAAGCCGCUAUUGCGUUAUACGUACCCGUACCGCAAACCGACACAGGUAGACGAGGAGAAAAUCCACAGACCGACGGGAGAAGUGUUGUUAAGGAACUCGGCAAAAUGACCCCGUAACUUAGGGAUAAGGGGAGCCAACGCAAGUUGGUCACAGAAAAGAGGCUCAAGCGACUGUUUAGCAAAAACAUAGGUCUAUGCGAAACCGUAAGGUGAUGUAUAUGGGCUGACACCUGCCCGGUGCUGGAAGGUCAAAAGGAGAGGUUAGCGUAAGCGAAGCUUUGAAUUCAAGCCCCAGUAAACGGCGGCCGUAACUAUAACGGUCCUAAGGUAGCGAAAUUCCUUGUC
RNAcentral lists this ribosomal RNA (1940 nucleotides) under human gut metagenome. Its description in RNAcentral is "bacterial LSU rRNA". It matches the Rfam family "Bacterial large subunit ribosomal RNA", at positions 3 to 1973 of the family's 2925-position model. The record is from RNAcentral.